AAGAUAAAUAAAAUAGAUUUCUAAUCUAUAUAAAAGUAUAAACUUAUAUCUUA
Molecule: transfer RNA, 53 nt
Filed under: Proasellus beticus
Lineage: Eukaryota; Metazoa; Arthropoda; Malacostraca; Isopoda; Asellidae
Description: transfert RNA-S1(AGA)
Source: RNAcentral